Molecule: long non-coding RNA, 806 nt
Organism: Pseudonaja textilis
Lineage: Eukaryota; Metazoa; Chordata; Lepidosauria; Squamata; Elapidae
Source: RefSeq, a predicted model, not a curated record
GCAUGCGUAAAAUUGUGGUCUUGCGAGAAUGAGGUUCUUCGAAAAAGCGAGGCGGGGCUAAAAGGAUAAAAAGGCCACGUGCGCCGGCGUUCCCUUCUGUUUCAAAUGGCGGCCAGCUGCAGAUUUUGUAGAUGUGAUUAUACCAGAUCCUGGAAACUGGAAGUUACUAGCAAACCACAUGCAGAUCCAGAUAGAUGUUUUUGCAAAUGGAAGACGUGAGGCUAUUCUACAUAUGGAAUGGUUGAAGCCUGCCUCAGACUUAAUUCUCUGCCUGAGUUCUUCUCCUGGCUUGGAAUAAGAUAUAAACCGGAUUUAACCUCCACCAGAACCUUACAAAGAGAAGAAUUGACAGAGCAGAGAAAGAAGGUGAUCUACACUUUGCCUCCUGGAAUAGACUGGCCUUCUUUUCCUAUUAUGCCUUCUCCAAAUGUCUUCUGCCUUGAGAGACUGAGGAUCUCAUAGUGGAAGGUAAAAGUGAAAUGUUACACAGUUGCUGGUAGGUGUAAUGUGAGCCAGGCUCUUCUGGAAUGUACGAAUGUAGCCUACUAGGACCCUUAAGAGGCUGUUGACUGAACCAAAUUGGCGGGAGCGUCGAAGAAGUCUACGUGGAGGACCUUCUUCCCCAAGAAGAAAUAUAACUCGGAAAUUUUCCUGGAUCCAUUGUUUGGGAUGGGAGGGAUUUGCCGUUGUUUAUCCAUUACACCCCUUAUUCUGUUUUUCAUGCAGAAAGAAGUGAGAGGCUUACUUAUCAGAUCCUAGCGGGUUUACUUUCUUACUCAAUAAACACUUCAUUGAUGGAUGAAUAA